Molecule: ribosomal RNA, 427 nt
Filed under: uncultured Sphingobacteriales bacterium
Lineage: Bacteria; Pseudomonadati; Bacteroidota; Sphingobacteriia; Sphingobacteriales
Description: bacterial SSU rRNA
Rfam family: Bacterial small subunit ribosomal RNA
Source: RNAcentral
CGAUGAUACGCGAGGAACCUUACCUGGGCUUAAAUGGGAGUGACAGCUGUCGAAAGAUGGUUUUCUUCGGACACUCUUCAAGGUGCUGCAUGGUUGUCGUCAGCUCGUGCCGUGAGGUGUCGGGUUAAGUCCCAUAACGAGCGCAACCCUUACCGUUAGUUACCAUCAGGUUAAGCUGGGGACUCUAGCGGGACUGCCACCGUAAGGUGAGAGGAAGGUGGGGAUGACGUCAAAUCAGCACGGCCCUUAUGUCCAGGGCUACACACGUGUUACAAUGGCCGGUACAAAGGGCAGCUACUUCGCGAGAAGAUGCUAAUCUCGAAAGCCGGUCUCAGUUCGGAUCGAAGUCUGCAACCCGACUUCGUGAAGCUGGAUUCGCUAGUAAUCGCGCAUCAGCCAUGGCGCGGUGAAUACGUUCCCGGGCCUU